RNAcentral lists this ribosomal RNA (311 nucleotides) under uncultured bacterium. RNAcentral describes it as "bacterial SSU rRNA". It matches the Rfam family "Bacterial small subunit ribosomal RNA", at positions 28 to 334 of the family's 1533-position model. The record is from RNAcentral.
GACGAACGCUGGCGGCGUGCCUAACACAUGCAAGUCGAACGGGGCGAAGGGAGCUUGCUCCCCGAGCCUAGUGGCGGACGGGUGAGUAACGCGUGAGUAACCUGCCUUUCAGAGGGGGAUAACGUCUUGAAAAGGACGCUAAUACCGCAUAAUAUCUUUUUACCGCAUGGUAGAGAGAUCAAAGGAGCAAUCCGCUGAAAGAUGGACUCGCGUCCGAUUAGCCAGUUGGCGGGGUAACGGCCCACCAAAGCGACGAUCGGUAGCCGGACUGAGAGGUUGAACGGCCACAUUGGGACUGAGACACGGCCCAG